GAAAGCUUUCUGCAAACGUGAUUGGCUGAUGCAGGACAAAGUGAUAUAACUGCUAAACCAAGUUACUACCAAAACACUCAAUUUCAGGAGGUCAAACUUUGACACGGAAUAAGGUCAACUAUGGAAUGUAUAGACUGGGAUGGAUUGUUCUCUGGAUUAGACACAGAGGUCAAAUGGAAUACCUUUAAGCAUGCAUUACAAAAUUACACAUCCCAAUAUAUAUCUACAGGAAACAAAUACAAAGGAAGCAAAUCAAAACCGAUGUGUCUUACCAGGAAAGUAAAACAGGAAAUAAACAAAUGGCAUUUAAGCAUUAUAAAAGCGAGGGAUCGGUAGUAUCAUUUAUGGCAUACAAAGAUGCCAACAAAGUCUGCAAAAAGGAGGAGUUGGACUGUGCAUGCAAGUGGCAGGUGAGGUUCAACAUAGAUAAAUGCAAAGUUAUGCAUUAUGGUAAAAAUAAUAAAAA
Spea bombifrons (plains spadefoot toad) is the source of this 466-nucleotide long non-coding RNA. RefSeq lists it as uncharacterized. The record is from RefSeq and is a predicted model, not a curated record. The transcript is spliced from 2 exons. Lineage: Eukaryota; Metazoa; Chordata; Amphibia; Anura; Pelobatidae.